AGAGUUUGAUCCUGGCUCAGAAUGAACGCUGGCGGCGUGGAUAAGACAUGCAAGUCGAACGAAAAGUGAUUUAGUUUACUAAUGAUCUUUUAGUGGCGGACGGGUUAGUAACGCGUGAGCAACCUGCCUUAAAGAGGGGGAUAGUCCUGGGAAACUGGGUUUAAUACCGCAUAAGCUCUACGGAGUAAAGUGGCCUUCGGGUCACGCUUUAAGAUGGGCUCGCGUCCUAUCAGCUUGUUGGUGAGGUAAAAGCUCACCAAGGCGACGACGGGUAGUUGGUCUGAGAGGACGAUCAGCAACACUGGAACUGAGACACGGUCCAGACACCUACGGGUGGCAGCAGUCGAGAAUCAUUCACAAUGGACGAAAGUCUGAUGGUGCAACGCCGCGUGUGGGAUGAAGGCCUUAGGGUCGUAAACCACUGUCAUGUGAGAGUAAGACAUAAUAGUUAAUACCUAUUAUGUUUGAUAGUAUCACAAGAGGAAGGGACGGCUAACUUCGUGCCAGCAGCCGCGGUAAUACGAAGGUCCCGAGCGUUAUUCGGAAUCACUGGGCGUAAAGGGAGCGUAGGCGGCGCGGUAAGUCAGAUGUGAAAUCUCAGAGCUCAACUCUGAAACUGCAUCCGAUACUGCCGUGCUAGAGUAAUGGAGGGGUAACUGGAAUUCUCGGUGUAGCAGUGAAAUGCGUAGAUAUCGAGAG
RNAcentral lists this ribosomal RNA (699 nucleotides) under uncultured bacterium. RNAcentral describes it as "bacterial SSU rRNA". It matches the Rfam family "Bacterial small subunit ribosomal RNA", at positions 8 to 703 of the family's 1533-position model. The record is from RNAcentral.